Molecule: ribosomal RNA, 492 nt
Filed under: uncultured bacterium
Lineage: Bacteria
Description: partial 16S ribosomal RNA
Rfam family: Bacterial small subunit ribosomal RNA
Source: RNAcentral
AGUGAACGCUGGCGGUAGGCCUAACACAUGCAAGUCGAACGGCAGCACAGUAAGAGCUUGCUCUUACGGGUGGCGAGUGGCGGACGGGUGAGGAAUACAUCGGAAUCUACUUUUUCGUGGGGGGUAACGUAGGGAAACUUACGCUAAUACCGCAUACGACCUACGGGUGAAAGCAGGGGAUCUUCGGACCUUGCGCGAUUGAAUGAGCCGAUGUCGGAUUAGCUAGUUGGCGGGGUAAAGGCCCACCAAGGCGACGAUCCGUAGCUGGUCUGAGAGGAUGAUCAGCCACACUGGAACUGAGACACGGUCCAGACUCCUACGGGAGGCAGCAGUGGGGAAUAUUGGACAAUGGGCGCAAGCCUGAUCCAGCCAUACCGCGUGGGUGAGGAAGGCCUUCGGGUUGUAAAGCCCUUUUGUUGGGAAAGAAAAGCAGCAGGUUAAUACCCCGCUGUUCUGACGGUACCCAAAGAAUAAGCACCGGCUAACUUCGUG